GUUGUAUGGUUAAGUGAYUAAGCGUAGACGGUGGAUGCCUUGGCAGUCAGAGGCGAUGAAGGACGUAUUAACUUGCGAUAAGCCCAGAUAAGGCAGUAAAAGCCAUUUGAGUCUGGGAUUUCCGAAUGGGGAAACCCACCUGCAUAAGCAGGUAUCUUAGCGUGAAUACAUAGCGCUAAGAGGACGAGUAGGACGGGACACGUGAUAUCUUGUCUGAACAUGGGGGGACCAUCCUCCAAGGCUAAAUACUCCUGACUGACCGAUAGUGAACCAGUACCGUGAGGGAAAGGCGAAAAGAACCCCUGUGAGGGGAGUGAAAUAGAACCUGAAACCGUCUACGUACAAGCAGUGGGAGCCUCUUCGUGGGGUGACCGCGUACCUUUUGUAUAAUGGGUCAGCGACUUAAUGUUAGUAGCAAGGUUAACCGCAUAGGGGAGCCGUAGGGAAACCGAGUCUUAACUGGGCGUMSAGUUGCUAGCAUUAGACCCGAAACCGAGUGAUCUAGCCAUGGGCAGGUUGAAGGUUGAGUAACAUCAACUGGAGGACCGAACUCACUAACGUUGAAAAGUUAGGAGAUGACCUGUGGCUAGGGGUGAAAGGCCAAUCAAACUCGGAGAUAGCUGGUUCUCCCCGAAAGCUAUUUAGGUAGCGCCUCGGACGAAUACUACCAGACCGCCAGCUAAGGUCCCAAAGUUAUCGCUAAGUGGGAAACGAUGUGGGAAGGCUCAGACAGCCAGGAUGUUGGCUUAGAAGCAGCCAUCAUUUAAAGAAAGCGUAAUAGCUCACUGGUCGAGUCGGCCUGCGCGGAAGAUGUAACGGGGCUAAGCGAUACACCGAAGCUGCGGCAAUGUCCUUAUGGAUAUUGGGUAGGGGAGCGUUGUGUAAGCYGUUGAAGGUGUGCUGAGAGGYAUGCUGGAGGUAUCACAAGUGCGAAUGCUGACAUGAGUAACGAUAAAGGGGGUGAAAAACCUCCUCGCCGGAAGACCAAGGGUUCCUGUCCAACGUUAAUCGGGGCAGGGUAAGUCGGCCCCUAAGGCGAGGCCGAAAGGCGUAGUCGAUGGGAAACGGGUUAAUAUUCCCGUACUGCUGCUUACUGCGAUGGGGGGACGGAGAAGGCUAGGUGGGCCUGGCGAUGGUMGUCCAGGUUCAAGUGCGUAGGCUGAUUUCUUAGGCAAAUCCGGGAAAUCAAGGCCGAGACACGAUGUCGAGCCACCAAGGUGGUGAAGUCAUUGAUGCCAUGCUUCCGGGAAAAGCCUCUAAGCUUCAGGUAAGUAGCAACCGUACUCCAAACCGACACAGGUGGUCGGGUAGAGAAUACCAAGGCGCUUGAGAGAACUCGGGUGAAGGAACUAGGCAAAAUGGUACCGUAACUUCGGGAGAAGGUACGCUGCCCGCGGUGAAGUCCCUUGCGGAUGGAGCUAUGGGCAGUCGCAGAUACCAGGUGGCUGCAACUGUUUAUUAAAAACACAGCACUGUGCAAAAUCGAAAGAUGACGUAUACGGUGUGACGCCUGCCCGGUGCCGGAAGGUUAAUUGAUGUGGUUAUCGCAAGAGAAGCCAUUGAUCGAAGCCCCGGUAAACGGCGGCCGUAACUAUAACGGUCCUAAGGUAGCGAAAUUCCUUGUCGGGUAAGUUCCGACCUGCACGAAUGGCGUAAUGAUGGCCACGCUGUCUCCACCCGAGACUCAGUGAAAUUGAAAUCGCAGUGAAGAUGCUGUGUACCCGCGGCUAGACGGAAAGACCCCGUGAACCUUUACUACAGCUUGGCACUGAACAUUGAGCCUACAUGUGUAGGAUAGGUGGGAGGCUUUGAAGCGGCGACGCCAGUUGUCGUGGAGCCAUCCUUGAAAUACCACCCUUGUAUGUUUGAUGUUCUAACUUAGCCCCRUUAUCYGGGGUGAGGACAGUGCCUGGUGGGUAGUUUGACUGGGGCGGUCUCCUCCCAAAGAGUAACGGAGGAGCACGAAGGUGGGCUAAUCACGGUCGGACAUCGUGAGGUUAGUGCAAUGGCAUAAGCCCGCUUAACUGCGAGAGUGACGGCUCGAGCAGGUACGAAAGUAGGUCAUAGUGAUCCGGUGGUUCUGAAUGGAAGGGCCAUCGCUCAACGGAUAAAAGGUACUCCGGGGAUAACAGGCUGAUACCGCCCAAGAGUUCAUAUCGACGGCGGUGUUUGGCACCUCGAUGUCGGCUCAUCACAUCCUGGGGCUGAAGUCGGUCCCAAGGGUAUGGCUGUUCGCCAUUUAAAGUGGUACGCGAGCUGGGUUUAGAACGUCGUGAGACAGUUCGGUCCCUAUCUGCCGUGGGCGUUGGAUGAUUGAGGGGAGCUGCUCCUAGUACGAGAGGACCGGAGUGGACGAACCGCUGGUGUUCGGGUUGUGUCGCCAGACGCAUUGCCCGGUAGCUAAGUUCGGCACAGAUAAGCGCUGAAAGCAUCUAAGCGCGAAGCUGGCCCCGAGAUGAGUCAUCCCUAGAGCUUCGAGCUCUCUAAAGGGUUGUCGUAGACGACGACGUUGAUAGGCAGGGUGUGUAAGCGCUGUGAGGCGUUGAGCUAACCUGUACUAAUUGCCCGUGAGGCUUAACCAUACAACACCCAAG
Molecule: ribosomal RNA, 2594 nt
Filed under: Salinivibrio sp. PR5
Lineage: Bacteria; Pseudomonadati; Pseudomonadota; Gammaproteobacteria; Vibrionales; Vibrionaceae
Description: bacterial LSU rRNA
Rfam family: Bacterial large subunit ribosomal RNA
Source: RNAcentral